GAGUUUGAUCCUGGCUCAGGAUGAACGCUAGCGACAGGCUUAACACAUGCAAGUCGAGGGGCAGCGGGGGCGUAGCAAUAUGCCUGCCGGCGACCGGCGCACGGGUGAGUAACACGUAUGUAACCUGCCCUAUGCAGGGGGAUAACCCGGAGAAAUCCGGCCUAAUACCGCGUAACACCUUUUGGGAGCAUUCCCGGGAGGUUAAAGGAGAGAUCCGGCAUAGGAUGGACAUGCGUCGCAUUAGGUAGACGGCGGGGUAACGGCCCACCGUGCCGACGAUGCGUAGGGGUUCUGAGAGGAAGGCCCCCCACACUGGUACUGAGACACGGACCAGACUCCUACGGGAGGCAGCAGUGAGGAAUAUUGGUCAAUGGCCGAGAGGCUGAACCAGCCAAGUCGCGUGAGGGAAGAAUGUCCUAAGGAUUGUAAACCUCUUUUGUCGGGGAGCAAAAAGGCUCUGCGGAGUCGUAUUGAGAGUACCCGAAGAAAAAGCAUCGGCUAACUCCGUGCCAGCAGCCGCGGUAAUACGGAGGAUGCGAGCGUUAUCCGGAUUUAUUGGGUUUAAAGGGUGCGCAGGCGGCGUGUCAAGCAAGCGGUAAAAUAGCGGGGCUCAACCCCGUCGAGCCGUUUGAACUGGCGCGCUUGAGUUCAGGCGAGGUAGGCGGAAUUCGUGGUGUAGCGGUGAAAUGCAUAGAUAUCACGAAGAACUCCGAUUGCGAAGGCAGCUUACCAGUCUGCGACUGACGCUCAGGCACGAAAGUGUGGGUAUCGAACAGGAUUAGAUACCCUGGUAGUCCACACAGUAAACGAUGAGCGCUAGGUGUCCGGGUCGCAUGAGACUUGGGUGCCCGAGCGAAAGCGUUAAGCGCUCCACCUGGGGAGUACGCCGGCAACGGUGAAACUCAAAGGAAUUGACGG
Molecule: ribosomal RNA, 918 nt
Filed under: uncultured bacterium
Lineage: Bacteria
Description: bacterial SSU rRNA
Rfam family: Bacterial small subunit ribosomal RNA
Source: RNAcentral